Molecule: ribosomal RNA, 236 nt
Filed under: uncultured bacterium
Lineage: Bacteria
Description: partial 16S ribosomal RNA
Rfam family: Bacterial small subunit ribosomal RNA
Source: RNAcentral
AUUGAACGCUGGCGGCAUGCCUUACACAUGCAAGUCGAACGGCAGCACGGGGGCAACCCUGGUGGCGAGUGGCGAACGGGUGAGUAAUGCAUCGGAACGUGCCCCGUAGCGGGGGAUAACCAGUCGAAAGACUGGCUAAUACCGCAUACGCUCCACGGAGGAAAGCAGGGGAUCGCAAGACCUUGCACUAUGGGAGCGGCCGAUGCCCGAUUAGCUAGUUGGGAGGUAAGCUCACC